GUAUAUAAAUAUAAAAAAUCAACAGAGUGGUAUGCACAGGCGAUAAAAAAUGUAUUGUAUUGAAUUUGGUUGAUUGUAUAUUGUUUUUAGUUGAGCUGUCAGUUUGUACGGUAUCUGUGAAUGAGGAACCUCGC
This is a long non-coding RNA of Haliotis rubra (blacklip abalone), 134 nucleotides long. RefSeq lists it as uncharacterized. NCBI's taxonomy places the organism in Eukaryota, Metazoa, Mollusca, Gastropoda, Lepetellida, Haliotidae. The record is from RefSeq and is a predicted model, not a curated record. The transcript has 3 exons.